Molecule: long non-coding RNA, 230 nt
Organism: Limulus polyphemus (Atlantic horseshoe crab)
Lineage: Eukaryota; Metazoa; Arthropoda; Merostomata; Xiphosura; Limulidae
Exons: 3
Source: RefSeq, a predicted model, not a curated record
AUGUUUUGCAGAGAUUUGAGAUUCAACAAGAUAAAGGAGGUCACUGCUAAUACUUUUAAAAAUCUCAAACACUUGAAUACACUAUUGCUAAACAACAAUCAUAUUACGAAGAUAGAAGAUAAUGCGUUUACAGGCCUGAAGGAAUUGCGAUACUUAUAUUUAUACAAAAAUAGAAUUAGAACUAUUGGACAGGAUGCUUUUCGGGGACUGGAGAAGUUGGAACAGUUGUA